Molecule: ribosomal RNA, 447 nt
Filed under: uncultured bacterium
Lineage: Bacteria
Description: partial 16S ribosomal RNA
Rfam family: Bacterial small subunit ribosomal RNA
Source: RNAcentral
AACGAACGCUGGCGGCAGGCUUAACACAUGCAAGUCGAACGCCCCGCAAGGGGAGUGGCAGACGGGUGAGUAACGCGUGGGAAUCUACCCAGAUCUACGGAACAACAGUUGGAAAUGACUGCUAAUACCGUAUACGCCCUACGGGGGAAAGAUUUAUCGGAUUUGGAUGAGCCCGCGUAAGAUUAGCUAGUUGGUGGGGUAAUGGCCUACCAAGGCGACGAUCUUUAGCUGGUCUGAGAGGAUGAUCAGCCACACUGGGACUGAGACACGGCCCAGACUCCUACGGGAGGCAGCAGUGGGGAAUAUUGGACAAUGGGCGCAAGCCUGAUCCAGCCAUGCCGCGUGAGUGAUGAAGGCCUUAGGGUUGUAAAGCUCUUUCAGUAGGGAAGAUAAUGACGGUACCUACAGAAGAAGCCCCGGCUAACUUCGUGCCAGCCGCCGCGGUAA